Molecule: long non-coding RNA, 397 nt
Filed under: Gossypium raimondii (Peruvian cotton)
Lineage: Eukaryota; Viridiplantae; Streptophyta; Magnoliopsida; Malvales; Malvaceae
Description: long non-coding RNA (GRAI_LNC010482)
Source: RNAcentral
AAAUAUUUAUUAAUAAACACAAUUUUAGGGGAGAAAUCGGGAAUAAAAUGAGGGUAAGGGCCCAAUUGAAAGGUGCGCAUAACUCAGAGGGACCAAAUGGGAAAAUAUCCCGCCCUCUAAAACACGCCGUUGGGCACAGGACCAAAAUGAAACAAAAGUAAAAUUAUGAUGCUAAAUUCAAAAAAAAGAAAAGAAAGAAAAAGGACCAAAUUGUAAACCAUCAUAAAAAUGAAAGGACUGCGCGUAAAUAUCCCGUCAAAGUAAAACACGCGGAUCUUCCCCCCCGGUCGGGUUGACGCGCGGGUAAAAGGAUACUAAGGCCAAAACAGCUUCGUUUUGCCCACUGGGGUUAAGGCCCAAAACGGCGCCGUUUCAGUCCUCUAUAAAAACCAAAUUU